Molecule: non-coding RNA, 148 nt
Filed under: Pan troglodytes (chimpanzee)
Lineage: Eukaryota; Metazoa; Chordata; Mammalia; Primates; Hominidae
Source: Rfam by way of RNAcentral
GCUGGGCAUGGUGGUGGGUGCCUGUAAUCCCAGCUACUUGGGAGGCUGAGGCAGGAGAAUCACUUGAACCCAGGAGGCUGAGGUUGCAGUGAGCCAAGAUUGCACCACUGCACUCCAGCCUGGGUGACAGAGCAAGACUCCGUCUCAA